Populus nigra (black poplar) is the source of this 2244-nucleotide RNA transcript. RefSeq lists it as uncharacterized. The transcript has 9 exons. The record is from RefSeq and is a predicted model, not a curated record. Lineage: Eukaryota; Viridiplantae; Streptophyta; Magnoliopsida; Malpighiales; Salicaceae.
UACUGCAAAAUCUGUGCGGGUCUCCAACAGUCAAAACCAAAAUGACCUUUAAUUUUAUACUCCAAAGAUCCACACAGAUAUACUGUAGUUGCAUAGCGUUGCUCGAUCGCCAACAAAAAAAAAAAUGCUAAAAAGUUGACAGAUUUCAGAGCUUAGAUUGAUAGAUAGUUAGAUAGGUUAAACAUACCAAAAGGUAAAAAUGGAGUUUACCGAAGCUUAUAAGCAGACGGGUCCUUGUUGUUUCUCUCCAAACUCCCGUUACAUCGCUGUUGCUGUCGAUUACCGUCUCGUGAUUCGUGAUACGCUCUCUUUUAAGGUUGUGCAGUUGUUUUCAUGCUUGGAUAAGAUAAGCUAUAUAGAAUGGGCAAAUGAUUCUGAGUACAUCCUUUGCGGUCUGAAUAAAAGACCGAUGAUACAAGCAUGGUCAUUGACUCAACCUGAGUGGACAUGCAAAAUAGAUGAAGGUCCUGCUGGUAUUGCAUAUUCUAGAUGGAGUCCUGACAGCCGGCAUAUACUUACCACUUCAGAUUUUCAGUUGAGAUUAACAGUUUGGUCGCUUUUGAACACAGCAUGUGUUCAUGUCCAGGGGCCAAAGCAUUGCUCUAAAGGGGUUUCUUUCACUAAAGAUGGGAAAUAUGCUGCGAUUUGUACGAGGCGUGAUUGCAAGGAUUAUGUAAAUCUACUGUCAUGUCAUACAUGGGAAAUAAUGGGUGCGUUUGCUGUUGAUACAUUGGACUUAGCUGAUAUAGAGUGGUCGCCGGAUGAUAGUGCUAUAGUAAUAUGGGAUGCACCACUUGAAUUCAAGGUUCUAAUUUACUCCCCAGAUGGGAGAUGCCUGUCCAAGUAUCAAGCAUAUGAAAGUGGACUGGGUGUAAAAAGUGUUUCGUGGUCGCCUUGUGGCCAAUAUCUAGCUGUGGGUAGUUAUGAUCAGAUGUUGCGAGUUUUGAAUCACUUAACUUGGAAAACAUUUGCUGAAUUCAUGCACCUAUCCACUGUUCGUGGUCCUUGUUGUGCUGCUGUUUUCAAGGAGGUAGACGAGCCAUUGCACAUUAAUAUGUCUGAGUUAUGCUUGAAUGAUGAGUUUCUUCAAGGAAAUUCUGAUGUCUCAGAAGGACACUUCAGAGUCAUGUACGAUGUUACUGAAGUACCUAUCAGUUUGCCUUUCCAGAAGCCUCCUGCAGACAAACCGAAUCCUAAACAAGGCAUCGGUCUUAUGUCAUGGAGUAAAGACAGCCGAUAUAUUUAUACACGUAAUGAUAGCAUGCCAACUGCUCUGUGGAUAUGGGAUAUACGCCAUCUAGAGCUUGCUGCCAUCUUGGUGCAGAAGGAUACCAUACGAGCAGCAGCAUGGGACCCAACAUGCACACGUCUUGUUCUCUGUACUGGCAGCUCUCACUUGUAUAUGUGGACCCCAUCAGGUGCUUACUGCGUGAGUAAUCCUCUACCACAGUUUAACAUAACUGAUUUGAAAUGGAAUUCAGAUGGAAGUUGCCUCCUCCUCAAAGACAAGGAGUCGUUCUGCUGUGCGUCUGUGCCCUUAUUUCCAGAAUCUAGUGAAUAUAGUUCAGAUGAUUGAGGCAUGUCUCCAUUUUUUAAUCCAGGUUGGCUUGCAAAUUUAACAAAAAAAGUUUGGCCAGUCUCGGGGUGUAUGUGUGUCAAGACAAUGGCAAAACGAAUGAAACUAUGGCAAACGACAUUUAUACCGUGUCAAGACAAAUCAAUAACGGAAGUCAAAUAAAUACUAACAUUUGUUGAGUUUCUUGGAAUCAGCUAUCCCUUGGCGAAGCUGCAAGUAAACUGUGAUAGAAACAAAGCAAGCAUAUACCGACUGCAUGCAAUAAACCCUACCAUACACGGCAUUUUUUUAUGAUAUAUCACAGCUUUGUAAUUAGAAAGUUCUCGUCAAGUUUUGAUACCACCAAACAUUACAAGCUGACUAAAACUUCCCAGAGGUUUUUUUUUUUGCUCUCUGUGUCACUAUCUUCGUUUCAAGUUCAAUGAGAGACGUCAAGAAAUGGAUUCUCUCGUAAAUGCCCUGUCUGCAAACGGCAAGCUGGCUUACGAAUUGUAAAUGCAGGAUGCAAAGAGUUUAGCCAUAUCUUAGACGAUACUUAACUGCAUGUGACAAAAGUAAUCUGCUACUGAACCGAUGCUUUCGGCUUCUUGACCUGAAGUGUUUUUAUCAGUAAUAGAAAUUAAAAGAAUCCACUGGCUGCAUGCAUCAAUGCUCCUCAUUUUCAAGAA